Molecule: ribosomal RNA, 844 nt
Filed under: uncultured bacterium
Lineage: Bacteria
Description: bacterial SSU rRNA
Rfam family: Bacterial small subunit ribosomal RNA
Source: RNAcentral
AUCAUGGCUCAGAAUCAACGCGGGCGGCGCGCUUAACACAUGCAAGUCGCACGAGAAAGCGGGAGCAAUCUCGCAAGUACAGUGGCGUACGGGUGAGUAACACGUGGGUAAUCUACCCUUUAGUGGGGAAUAACGCUGGGAAACCGGCGCUAAUACCGCAUAAGCUCGAGAGAGGAAAGCAGCAAUGCGCUGAAGGAGGAGCCCGCGGCCGAUUAGCUGGUUGGUAGGGUAAGAGCCUACCAAGGCAUAGAUCGGUAGCCGGCCUGAGAGGGCACACGGCCACACUGGCACUGAAACACGGGCCAGACUCCUACGGGAGGCAGCAGUGGGGAAUCUUGCACAAUGGGGGAAACCCUGAUGCAGCGACGCCGCGUGAGCGAUGAAGCCCUUCGGGGUGUAAAGCUCUUUCGGCAGGGACGAUAAUGACGGUACCUGCAGAAGCAGCUGCGGCUAACUACGUGCCAGCAGCCGCGGUAAUACGUAGGCAGCGAGCGUUGUUCGGAGUUACUGGGCGUAAAGGGUGUGUAGGCGGUUUUCUAAGUUUGGUGUGAAAUCUCCCGGCUCAACCGGGAGGGUGCGCCGAAAACUGGGAGACUAGAGUGCGGGAUGGGAGAGUAGAAUUCCUGGUGUAGCGGUGAAAUGCGUAGAUAUCAGGAGGAAUACCGGUGGUGUAGACGGCUCUCUGGACCGCCACUGACGCUGAGACACGAAAGCGUGGGUAGCAAACAGGAUUAGAUACCCUGGUAGUCCACGCCCUAAACGAUGCAUAUUUGGUGUAGGUCAUUCAGUUGAUCUGUGCCGGAGCUAACGCGUUAAAUAUGCCGCCUGGGGAGUACAGUCGCAA